Long non-coding RNA from Gorilla gorilla gorilla (western lowland gorilla), 811 nucleotides. RefSeq lists it as uncharacterized. NCBI's taxonomy places the organism in Eukaryota, Metazoa, Chordata, Mammalia, Primates, Hominidae. The transcript has 3 exons. The record is from RefSeq and is a predicted model, not a curated record.
UUCCAGUUGCCAAGCCUCACCCUGGAGCUCUACAGAGACAUUAUGGAAACUCCCCACUCCUUUCUGCUCCUCAGCCAGGGAACUUGGAGAAUCUAGCCAGAUGCAGUGACAAGGCGCCAUCUUGGAAGACAACAGCUCUCACCAGACACCGGACCUGCUGGAGCCCCAGUCUUGGACUUCCCAGCCUCCAGAACUAUGAGGCCACAAGAUGGAGACGGAGCGAGUCACUGAACCAAGGUCAUGCAGCGCCCAUCUGACGUUCCCCCGGGAGGAGCUGCAGGGCCUUCUCUCGAGGAGGUGGCAGAGGGGCUUCCUUGUGCAAAGGAAGGUCCCACCAGCCCUUUUGGAACCUCAGCCUGGUCCUCCAGAAUUUCACCUCAAACUACUGGAGUCUAGGUCCUGCGUCCCUCCUUAUAAGCCCCUCAUUUCUGAGUUCAGCUACGAGGCCACUCCAGGGACUCCAGGUUGCCCCUUAGUCCACACAGUUGCCUGUCCUUCCCUCCAGGAUGAUGUGAGCCCUGGGGGCCCAGGCAGGCUGGGGAUGGAGGCCACUCAGUGAGGGUGGAAAGCACAGGCCCUGAACAGGAGGGGACAAUGAGAAGCAGGCACCAGAACCUGGGAAUCCACAGCUUUACCUGCCCCAGGGCCCAGCUGCUGAGCUUGCACAGUGCAGAGCACAGCUCCAGGUGACCUCAGCUUGGCUGAAGCUCACUGGGAAGAGGGGAAGGAGGGAAAGAGAGGAUCUCUUGUCAGGCCUCCAACCCUGCCACCAGAGGAUGGAAAAAUCUGACCCCAUCCCUGUGCCUUAAAC